This 406-nucleotide ribosomal RNA is filed under the name uncultured bacterium. RNAcentral describes it as "partial 16S ribosomal RNA". It matches the Rfam family "Bacterial small subunit ribosomal RNA", at positions 29 to 526 of the family's 1533-position model. The record is from RNAcentral.
AUUGAACGCUGGCGGCAGGCCUAACACAUGCAAGUCGAGCGCGCGGCGGACGGGUGAGUCAUGUAUGGGGAUCUGCCCGCUGGAGGGGGAUAACUACUGGAAACGGUGGCUAAUACCGCAUACUAUCGGCUGAACCCAGAUGGGAUUAGCUAGUAGGUGGGGGAAAGGCUCACCUAGGCGACGAUCUCUAGCUGGUCUGAGAGGAUGAUCAGCCACACGGGGACUGAGACACGGCCCAGAAUCCUACGGGAGGCAGCAGUGGGGAAUAGUGCACAAUGGGCAGAAGCCUGAUGCAGCCAUGCCGCGUGUAUGAAGAAGGCCUUCGGGUUGUAAAGUACUGUCAGCGGGGAGGCGUUACCCGCAGAAGAAGCACCGGCUAACUCCGUGCCAGCAGCCGCGGUAAUUC